This 660-nucleotide unclassified non-coding RNA is filed under the name Pseudomonas aeruginosa. RNAcentral's name for it is "partial contains 16S ribosomal RNA, 16S-23S ribosomal RNA intergenic spacer, and 23S ribosomal RNA". The stretch from base 1 to 142 matches the Rfam family "Bacterial small subunit ribosomal RNA", at positions 1392 to 1533 of the family's 1533-position model. Lineage: Bacteria; Pseudomonadati; Pseudomonadota; Gammaproteobacteria; Pseudomonadales; Pseudomonadaceae. The record is from RNAcentral.
GCCCGUCACACCAUGGGAGUGGGUUGCUCCAGAAGUAGCUAGUCUAACCGCAAGGGGGACGGUUACCACGGAGUGAUUCAUGACUGGGGUGAAGUCGUAACAAGGUAGCCGUAGGGGAACCUGCGGCUGGAUCACCUCCUUAAUCGAAGAUCUCAGCUUCUUCAUAAGCUCCCACACGAAUUGCUUGAUUCACUGGUUAGACGAUUGGGUCUGUAGCUCAGUUGGUUAGAGCGCACCCCUGAUAAGGGUGAGGUCGGCAGUUCGAAUCUGCCCAGACCCACCAAUUGUUGGUGUGCUGCGUGAUCCGAUACGGGGCCAUAGCUCAGCUGGGAGAGCGCCUGCUUUGCACGCAGGAGGUCAGGAGUUCGAUCCUCCUUGGCUCCACCAUCUAAAACAAUCGUCGAAAGCUCAGAAAUGAAUGUUCGUGAAUGAACAUUGAUUUCUGGUCUUUGCACCAGAACUGUUCUUUAAAAAUUCGGGUAUGUGAUAGAAGUAAGACUGAAUGAUCUCUUUCACUGGUGAUCAUUCAAGUCAAGGUAAAAUUUGCGAGUUCAAGCGCGAAUUUUCGGCGAAUGUCGUCUUCACAGUAUAACCAGAUUGCUUGGGGUUAUAUGGUCAAGUGAAGAAGCGCAUACGGUGGAUGCCUUGGCCCCACAGGCG